UGGGAAGAGAGGAAGAGUGGUACUGGGAAGAGAGGAAGAGUGGUACUGGGAAGAGAAGAGUGGUACUGGGAAGAGAAGAGUGGUACUGGGAAGAGAGAGAGUGGUACUGGGAAGAGAGAGAGUGGUACUGGGAAGAGAGGAAGAGUGGUACUGGGAAGAGAGGAAGAGUGGUACUGGGAAGAGAAGAGUGGUACUGGGAAGAGAGAGAGUGGUACUGGGAAGAGAGAGAGUGGUACUGGGAAGAGAGGAAGAGUGGUACUGGGAAGAGAGGAAGAGUGGUACUGGGAAGAGAAGAAGAGUGGUACUGGAAAGAGAGGAAGAGUGGUACUGGAAAGAGUGGUACUGGAAAGAGAAGAAGAGUGGUACUGGAAAGAGUGGUACUGGGAAGAGAAGAAGAGUGGUACUGGAAAGAGAGGAAGAGUGGUACUGGGAAGAGAAGAAGAGUGGUACUGGAAAGAGAGGAAGAGUGGUACUGGGAAGAGAGGAAGAAUGGUACUGGAAAGAGAAGAAGAGUGGUACUGGGAAGAGAAGAAGAGUGGUACUGGAAAGAGAGGAAGAGUGGUACUGGAAAGAGUGGAAGAGUGGUACUGGAAAGAGAAGAAGAGUGGUACUGGGAAGAGAGGAAGAGUGGUACUGGGAAGAGAGGAAGAGUGGUACUGGGAAGAGAAGAAGAGUGGUACUGGGAAGAGAGGAAGAGUGG
Oncorhynchus tshawytscha (Chinook salmon) is the source of this 700-nucleotide long non-coding RNA. Lineage: Eukaryota; Metazoa; Chordata; Actinopteri; Salmoniformes; Salmonidae. The record is from Ensembl.